UACAGAGGGUGCAAGCGUUGUUCGGAAUUAUUGGGCGUAAAGGGCGCGUAGGCGGUGCGGUAAGUCUGUAUUGAAAUCUCUGGGCUCAACUCAGAGUCUGCUGCAGAAACUGCCGUGCUUGAGUGUGGGAGAGGUGAGUGGAAUUCCCGGUGUAGCGGUGAAAUGCGUAGAUAUCAAGUGGAACACCAGUGGCGAAGGCGAGUCUCUGGACAUUUCCUGACGCUGAGGCACGAAAGCCAGGGGAGCAAACGGG
This 253-nucleotide ribosomal RNA is filed under the name uncultured bacterium. Its description in RNAcentral is "partial 16S ribosomal RNA". It matches the Rfam family "Bacterial small subunit ribosomal RNA", at positions 524 to 776 of the family's 1533-position model. The record is from RNAcentral.